UACGUGAGGGGCGAACGUUGUUCGGUGUCACUGGGCUUAAAGGGCGCGUAGGUGGUCGCAUAAGUAAGGUGUGAAAUCCCUCGGCUUAACCGAGGAACUGCGUCCGAUACUGAAAGGCUUGAAUCCGGGAGAGGGAUGUGGAAUUCCAGGUGUAGCGGUGAAAUGCGUAGAUAUCUGGAGGAACACCGGUGGCGAAGGCGGCAUCCUGGACCGGUAUUGACGCUGAGGCGCGAAAGCUAGGGGAGCAAACGGG
RNAcentral lists this ribosomal RNA (253 nucleotides) under uncultured bacterium. Its description in RNAcentral is "partial 16S ribosomal RNA". It matches the Rfam family "Bacterial small subunit ribosomal RNA", at positions 524 to 776 of the family's 1533-position model. The record is from RNAcentral.